UCUAUAAGCUGUAAAUUGGAAAUUAUAUUCAUUAAAUAAAAGUUAAAAAAGUAUAAUAUAAUAAAUAUACAAACCAGUAUUAAUCAUGUAUUAUCAUUAUCCAUCAUUAAGUACUGGACAUAAUCAUUUUAUACUUUUGUAUAACUGGUAGUGCAGUAAGUUUGUGUGUAACAGCAUUCAUCAGAACAAGUGAGUGAUGAAUGGCUAUAAAGUCACUAGGUGAUAGGUAUGUUUUAGCUCCAUUAUAGUCUUGUGUAUACAGAUCUCUUGUUGACCAAAGUGCUUUUGUGAGGUGCAUGAAUGUAGUGUCUUCUAGGUUAAGGGACUGAAGUAGAAGUUUUUUUCCUUUGUUUUGGCAUACCAAGUAGAAGCUACUUCUGAUAUGUGGGUUCUGAAACCAGACAGUCUGAACUUCUGCAUUUCUUAUAUCAUAAUGAUUCAGUAGGAAUAAAUAGUAUAGAGAGAUUUAUUAACUCAUUGAUUCCAAAAUCAUAUACAUGUUCAUUCACUGAAUUGGCUAGUCUCUUUCUGCUCAUCUUUCUUUUUGAAGCUGUUAGUAAUGGAAACUUAAGACCAAAAAAAUGAAGAACUUAGUCACUGUGUGAUCAGUAAAAUAGGUAGAAAGAACAUGAAAAGAUAGCAAGAGCUGAAGAACAGUUUCAAAUAUAUUGAAUCAUUUUGUUGAGUGAUUCAGGGUAAGUAGAGGCUGAUGCGAAAUAGCAGAACAAAAGGUGAGAAAGCCAGAAAUGAGUUUCUUGCUGAGCAAAUGAUGCAGAAAGCCUGAGGUAGAAUCAUUUCCGGGAGGUACAAAACCUAAAGUUAGAAAGUUCAGGGGUCUGAAAGCUGGGAAUACUGCACACUAUGUAGGAAGCCAUCUGUCACCUGUAUUUCAACAACGCCCACAGCAGUACAACUCCUCUAUUUCAAUUUAGCCAACAUAGACUCCCUGUGGUGAGCUAAACCAUACACAUACAAGUGUACUUCAAAGAGCUUGUGGGAAAUGGAAUAAAAAGACAAGUUUAUCUUGGUGCAAAAAAACCUUUGAAAUCAAUGCAUCUUUUUUUUAUAAGCUAUAUUUCUACUAAUUUUUUGAAAACUCCCAUCAUGUAUUGCUUUCAACAUUUUUUUCACCAAAAUAAACUGAUCUUUUAAUUCCAUUUUCCAUGAACUUUUUGAAACAUCCUCAUAUCAAGGACACCAGUGUGAACAAGCAAGAAGCAGUGCUCACACUCAAAUAGUUAGGUUUUCAACAUGGAACAGGACCAUUUGCCAAGUGGGAGAUCCAUGCCACAUGCCUGAAAUAGUCUGUCAAGAGAGUGGCAUUAUCUUCUCCAAUCCCAUCUUCACGUUCAGGAUCAGUGCUCCAGUGCUCCCAAAGCACCCUACACUUUGCAUUGGUUUACUAUCAAGCUUGUGUAGGUGGUGGAUUUCAUAAUUCAACAGUGACUUGCUCUUUUCAUAGUAGGUUUUUAGCCAUAAAAAGCAACCGGUAUGUGGGGACUUCCAGAUUCAACCACAUAGGUCAUUCAAAGAGAGGAAGCAGUAAGACCUUGCUAUGUUUAAGUUGCAAAGCAGAAAGGUCAUGAGGUUUUUUUUUUUUUCAUUCCUGCAGCACAGCUUAAUAUUUUAUAGGAAUCUCAACUUCUUUUUUACUUAUGGUUUCUGAGCUUGAGAAGCAGGUUUUAAAUGAUUCAUUGUGUUCAUGCAGGAACACCAUAAUUGCAAUUUGAAAGCUAAGUAAGAGUCCUUGUUGAAUUAGAUUCUUCCUAAGUUAUAAUAUUCCUCUCAUUUACAAGCUAACGAAGCUAAGAUUUGGGCAGCCCUUGUUCAAGAAUGUAGAGAAUCCGUGAGGAAUGAUUUUUGCAAUUGCCUUGAUUUUUGCUAUUAGUUUCUGUCUAAAUGAUAUUCUUUGGGCCAGCUGUACCUUGGAAAAACAAGGUUCACAACCUGAGGGAGAUAUUGACUCCCUGAACCCCAAGUGAAGCCAUUGUAACACUAGCACCACAGUGAAGCGGUUCUGACUAGCUGCUCCUAGUUAUCAUGUUCUUCAUUUUGUUAUGAGUAUGUGGAAACUCUGCUUAGGGUUGGAUUGCCCUAGGAAUGCGUGUCCACACACAGACUCAUUCAUGUGUGUUCAUAGAUACAUUUUUAUAAUAGUCCCCAAAUGGAAACAACCCAAAGGUCCAUCAACUGAUGAAUGAGAAAACAAAAUAUGUCAUAUCUAUGCAAGGCUAUAUUAUUAUUCAAUCAUAAAAGGGAAUGAAAUAUUGAUCCUUAAAUACAUUGUGUUAAGUGCACAAAUCCAGUCACAAAGACUACAUAUGUUUUUCUUUCCUAGUCUAUGAAAUGCCUAGAAAAGGCAAAUCCAUGGAGAAAGGAUAUGAGGGUUUGUGAGGGACUGGUAUGAGGGGAAUAUGGGUGGUGACUGCUAGUGGAUUUGCCAUGCGAGGUGAUAAAAUAUUAUAAAGUUAAGUAGUAGUGAUGGUACACAACUCUAUACAUAUUCUCAAAAUCUGUGAUUUUUCACUGUAAAGGGGUGAGUUUCUAGUGGGAUAUCACCUCAUGCCUAUCAGAAUGGCUGUUAUCAAAAACAGAGAAUGGCAAGUGUUGAGAGGGAUGUGGAGAAAAGGGAACUGUUGGGUACUGUUGGUGGGACUGUAAACUAGUGUAGCCACUGUGAAAACCAGUAUGGGAAUUUCUUUAAAAACUAGAAGUGGAACUGCCAUAUGAUCCAACAAUCCCACUACUAUGACCCAAUGCACCCAGAACACAUUAACACAUGGUACCUGCUUCACCAUAUUUAUAGCCUCAGUGUUCACAAUACCCAAAAUGUGGAAUCAGCCCAAGGUGUCCAUCCUCAGAUAAAUGCAUCAGAAAAUGUGACAUAUAUACAUAAUGAAAUACUAUCCUGCUAGAAAAAAAAGAAUGAAAUCCUAUCAUUUGCAGCAAAAUGACAGUGUGGAACUCCAGGACACCAUGUUGAGUGAAAUAAGGCAGACACAAAAGACAAAUACCAAAUGUCAUCCUAUAUUAGUGGGAGUUAAAGUAAAAAAAAAUAAAAUAAAAUAAAAACUCAGUAUGACCACUGAGUAUUGAUUACUAAUGGAUAGGAGGAGUAAGAGGAAGUAAAGGAGCUUAGAUGGAGAAAAAAUAGGAGAAUUCUAGGUGUGGUGGAUUAAUUAAGAGGAAUAUACAGAAACUCUCUGCAUUACUACCUCACAAUUUUUUAUUUUGUAAAUUUAAUACUAUUCUGGAAUAAAAUGUUUAAAAAUGAUAUGUCAGUAAGUAUUUCAAUAUGUUUAAAAAUGGUGUGUGGAUAGUAUCUGUAUAAUUUUGUUACUACCCCCAAAAAAGUGUGUAGAUAUUACAGUCAGGUUGUCAGAGGUAGACUACAAAAGAACCAAAGAAAUAGAUGUCCACAUUCCAGUACUUCAUUCUUUAAGACAGUAAACAAAAUAUCUCAAGGGAACAUGGCGUAACUUAUUUCUUUGUUAUAUUUUAUUUUCCAGGAUUUAAUGUGGCUUGCUUACAGUAAAACACACAUGUAAAAUGACUGGCUGAAUUCAUUGGCCAUAUAGUUUUGGAGUCUAAAAUAUUCCAUAGUUAAGCUAUUAUAAAGACACUAAAUGAUGGAGGUCAGGGAAGAGGAACAUGUGCUGAAUAAAUUAGAAUUUUCCAAAGAAACUGGCACUUAUACAAAACCUGGAAUUUGGAAAGCAUGAAGACAGUGAGGGGUUUUCUGAGAACUAGAGGAGCAUAGCCAAAACCCUUUUCAGGAACAAGCCCAGAAUGGAAGAAGGCAUGUGGGCAGCCACAUGCAGAGGAGCGAGGACAGUGGCUAUGGCGGGCUGGCUCAUUGUGUACCUGUCGCCAUUCCCAAGGAAGCAUCACAUGCCAGACAAGGCAGGGCGCUUCCCUGGAUUUCCUGGAUAGUGAGCUCAGACCGCAGCCUCUGACUCCUUGCCAGGGGGACAUCCUGGUGAAAAACUUCUUUAAAACAUGUGGAGCUCUUUGUUUCUAUCAAUACGUAACAUUUUUCCAUAUGCAUAUUUUGGAGCCUGGAAAUAAGUCACCAAAAAAGAAGUGAAAUUACUUUCUCAGUAUCCAAGAGUGAAAAUCCUUCUCCUUCUUUCUUACUUCUCUGCGACACUGAGCCCCUAAGCUUGACUUGACUAGAUGAUGACAACUCUACACUCACAGGUUUUUCUCACACUGUUUAACUUUAGCAAUACAAAAAGGGGUUUCCCUUCAAAGCACAAUGCAGGUACUCAGAUGAUAGUCUCACAUAUUUAAAAAAUAAAUAGGGUAAAAUCACACCAGUAAUACACUUUUGAAUGUGGUAAAAAUGUUUUUGCAGCAACUAACACAAUAUAAGUGUAUUCACUAAAAAGCAGUGCCUGCAUCUCAUUCUGGCACAUUUAGGGGAAGAUCACUUUUAAAGAUGUAUUUAUGCCAGAACUGAUCAUGAAGCGUUAGUUAGUAGUUCCUAUCAUGAGGCUAUUACCUUCUCCGGCUUGGACGGAUGGAUGACUCUAAACACUAUCAUUUUUGUCCUUUUUUAAGCAGCUGGGGCCUACAGUACUGUCAGAGGAAGCUUUUCUCGGCCCCAGGGUAGGAAAAGCUGCCUUGUUUCAGACUUUGACAGUGGCCUUUGGCCAAUUGAGCAAUCACCUCUAUGUGCUUGGAAUAAAGUCUCCUGUAGUCAUUUUACCCAGUAGAAUGGUGACUGCAACAAAACCGCAAAGACUACUCUCUACAGGAUAGAAGAAACCAGAAAGUGACAGGGAUGCAAUAGAACGUGUCUGACUAUCACAAGCCUGAAACUGCAAACAGCAACCUACAUGCAUCAUUUCUAUGACAAUUUUUAUUUCUAAAUGCCUACUCUCUGAACAACAGUCUCCUUACAAAACUCUUACCACCAAGAGAGGAGCUUGGCAGAGUUCCAGCACAGUCUCAUGCUAUUGAGCUAUACUAAUUGUCAACCAGAGGGUUUGUAAAAGAGAACAGGAAGUCUGUUGUGGCCAAAGCAAUUUGUAGUGGUCUGAAAGCAGCUAAUUCUCAGAAAAGAAAUUCUUUGUAACCAUAUUAAUAUCCCUAACAUAUUUUUCCUACUUUGCUUCUUAUUUGUGAUCAACUUUUUGGCCAUAGUGGAAACACAUUAAACAUGUAAAAUGAGCAGAAGCACCACAAUGGUUAAAGCUGAAAUUUUAGAAAGGUCUUUUGCUUUUUUAAGUACAUGCUCCGGCAUCAUAAAGCAAUGUAACUGAGAUCGGUAGCGUGUAAUAGUCAGCCAUUAUAAAUGUGCUCCUUUUCUUAUACCUUGUAUAGUCGUACAAGGUAAGAGAUGUGCAAGAACUACAAACAUAGUGUGAAAUCUUGUUCUAUUUAGAUUGAUCACAUGAUUCCAUGAGAGUGAUUCAGCUUGAGUUGUCUUAGUAACAAGUCAAUGUCAUUUCAUAAGUAAAGAUCAUCAGGAAUCAUUCAAGGUAUUGUACACAUCAUUAGGCAGGUUUUAUAGCCCUAACUGAAUGAAUUCCCAGUCUCAUAACUGCAUGUGAGCAUUAGCUUAAAUAGUUUAGAGUCCAUCUGUGCUAUAUCACAUCACUAAUCAAAUAGCCAUAUGAUUAUUGCUAUUGGAUAUGUGAGCUCACAUUAGCAAAACUUAUCAUUUAAAGAAAAAGCUUUUUAAACCAGCUAAGUAAUCACUCUAUUUUAUGACUCCACAGAGCAAUUAUCUUAAUAGGGCGGUAAGAUUAAUGUACAUCUGUAGGCUUGAUUUUAAGCCUUGUUGUUCCAAUCUACAUCAGAACCAGAGUAUUUUAAGGCAGCCAUUAUUUAGAGUAAAAAGAAGACAAUAAAACAAUGGAAGACUAGGUAGACAGAAGGAAGAUUAAUCUCUUCUAUUUUACUUGUAUGAACAAUUUAUUAUAAAGUCAUAAUAUAGCACAUUUUUAUUUAGAAAAAAAUGUCCUGAGUAUUUUCAAUAGACUACAAUCUGUAAUAUUUCCUGCAAACCAAGCAGAAAAUACUGUGUAUCUGGGAAAUAUCUGUCUGAACAGGAAACAACAGUAGAAAUCCAGUAAUAAUCCUCAAAGGUCAAACUCUACUAGAGUUUACUAGAGUUUAAUCAUUGUGCAUCUUCUAAACCAGUGAAUUAUGUAAAAGGGGCAACUUGAAGGAGGAAAUUCAAAACCAAUUAAAAUGUAAUGGCUCAAUCAACCAUCUUCAUCUUCAUAUCUGUUCCAUCUUCAUAUCUGCACUGGUUCACUGUAUCUGAAUUUGUCUAAGCCCUGUGGAUAGUUUUGAAUUUGUAGCCACAGCUCUACCCAAUUCUGUUAAGACAGAUGAGGUCAAAUUCUGGGGCAAAUGCAUUGGCCCAGGGAAUUCAGUCAACAGCUAUGUUCUAAAAUGAACAUUUAUUUUUACCAUAUGCUGUAUCUAGAACUCAGUAGUCUUUAUCUUCUGUUGUUAAAUCCACAUGACAUUUUUCCUCUUUCAUACUGACUAACCCUCAUGCUUCCCAAUGUGCAUGUGCUACAGAGAGAGAGACAGAGAGAGAGAGAGAGAGAGAGAGAGAGAGAUUCUUUCAUUGCUUACAUAUGCUCAUCCUGAUGCACUAUACACACCCAUGUACUCCACACACAUACCACAUGCAUACCAUACAUCUACACACACACUCCAAAAAAUCUUAUGUACAAUCACAUACACAUUCCUCACUACUUAUCAUAGAGACCGCUCAUUCCAUAUACACAACCACGCAAGCUCACAAAAUCACAAAUGACAUACCCAUACAGUCCUCAUACCACAGAUGCACACAUCUGCAUACACACAUAUGCUUACUAAAUUCAAUAAACAAUGCACCCAACUUGGCACUAAGGUUAUAGCACUGAAGAACACAGAAUUUUUCACACUCAUGGAGCCCAUAUCAGGAAUUUUAAAAGGGGGAUCUGAAAUUUAAAAAAAAAGAUGUGAGUCUAGGAUUAGAAGAAAGAAAGAAAGGAUUGGGGGUUGGAUUAAGAAAGGUUAGGGAGAAAAUAGCAGAGGAAAUUCUAAGCAAAUUGGAGGGACACAGUGGGCCUAUGUGGAGGAUGAGGACAUAAAAAAAGGACUCCACCUGCUGAGAGCCUACACACCAGCAUUGUAGAGUGAGGUGAGCCCAGGCUGCAGCAGCCCAAGCCACUGGCAAAAAAGAUACAGGAAGAGCCUAGAAGGAAUCCAGCUUGGAGUCCUGUGGAGGAUAGUGUACCCACCAAACUAGAGGAGAAAAAAUAAAGAGGGGGCAUGCUUUCUCUAUUCUCAGUCAUCCUGCAAUGGUAUCCUAUAACAAGCUGAUAGAGAGCAGGUGCCAUUUUUGGACAAACAUAAGAGCUGUGCCAACUCGUGUCCACCUCCAGCAACCAGCCAAGUGGAGACUCCUGAGUCUGGUGGGGAGAAGAGACAGGGUACUGGGUUCUUAUGACUGUGUGAGGCUUGGGUGCCGGGACUGUGAAAACACUGAGGCUGUAUGGGAAAACUCAGGGUGUGGCUGGGACUUUGGGCAGUCGCUGUGGGAGGCUGCACACAAUCAGGGAUUCUAGCAGGGACAUUGCUGGGGAAUCUGAGCUUAUACUGAGGCCUGCAUAGAUCCUUUGGGUGAUCCUUGUGCCAGAAUAGAUGAAUAAUAUAUCCAUGGGGAUAGCACCCAGGCACUGCUCUACAGUGAUGCUGUAAAGGAGCUAAGCUGAAUGUAUGCCAAAAGACAAGAACAAACCUCCCCUCUGAUUAAAAAAAAAAAAAAAGAGGAGACUUACCAUGCCAAACCUGAGACUUUCACCUCAGACAAGCCCUCCACUCUGGAGCACUGAACAGAGCUCCUUGGCCACACACCACAUGCUGCUAGGUUUUCCCUGAAAGCAGACAUUGCAUUAAUCCACACAGAUGUAGUUCGAAUAUAAAGCGUCCACAGCAAAAAAGAAGAAACAAAUAAGUAUAUCUACAAAUGCUGAAUCACAAACACACCAAUUCAAGAAACAAGAAAAAGGAAGAUAACAUAAUCCCCCAAAAGAACAUAACACCUAAAUACUGGAUUGUGAAGAUGAUGAGAUUGAAGAAAUGGAGUCAAAGGGAGCACAUAGACAAGUCUAGUACCUGCUAACGCUAACCGAUGGAGUAAAUAAAGGGGAGAGUGAUCCAACAUGGGAAGUGAGAUACUCAGCAGACUCAUAGAAUGGCAGAUGUCCUAAAUAGCACUCUGGCCUCAGAAUCAGCCCUAAAGGCAUUCAGAUCUGGCUGAAAGCCCAUGAGAGUAUUUCAGGCAUGGAAAGCCAAGACACUCUGGCAAAAGAUCUAUGUGAGUGAGAUCCCAGUGGAAAGAACAGGUCUUCAAAGAAGGAGGUACCUUUCUCUGAAGGGAGGAGAGAACCUCCACUUUGAAUAUGACCUUGUCUAAACAAGAUAAGAGUUGGUGAACUCAAAAGGCUUCCAUAGCCUUGGAAACUCAUGACUGGUGCAUAGGGAGAUUACUGAUGCCAUAAACAGGAGUGUCAA
This is a non-coding RNA of Oryctolagus cuniculus (rabbit), 8526 nucleotides long. NCBI's taxonomy places the organism in Eukaryota, Metazoa, Chordata, Mammalia, Lagomorpha, Leporidae. The record is from RefSeq and is a predicted model, not a curated record.